UGAAUAGCUCCUUUAAGGUUCGGUAGCUCCCCGAAAUACUAGUUCUUGCUUAGUCAGGCUGUACGUAAUUCGAGAAAGUAGCUAUUUUCGGAGAAAGUGACGUUAGCAAGUUAGCAAGAUCGUAGAUAGGUGCCUAGGAUUUGAGAGUAUAAAAGAAUCAAGCUCUACAAGCCGAAGAUAGGAGCAAAUUAUUGGAUACCACAUUCAAGAUUGGAAAUCUCAUAAACAAGACGAAACAGACACACCAAGGAAAAUUGACCCCUUUGUUUUGGAUAAACAAAAAGAGAUGGCAUCACAAGGUCUCAACGAAUGGAAGUACUGGGAGUGUAACCAUACUUGUUACACUGAAGUAACGUACCGGUGUAAUAAACAUCACAUCAAGCUUUGCUUUGUCUGUGCACAUAGUACGAAGUUUAGAGCAUGCCCUUUUCCACAUUGUCGGGAGGCUCGUAUCCAUCCAAACCCUAAUGUUGACCAAGACAACGUAACAAGGCUCCACGAUGGCACAACUCUUUCUCCAAUCUUUAAAGUUAUAGUUUGAAGUUUUUCUAAACGGAGAAAAAAACAUUGGUGAUAGAUGAACCGAUACGAAGUAGAUCGAGCUCUGAUUUGUAGCUUGUAGAUCGAUAUGCAUGCAUGUGUUUGUAAUACUUAAUUGUUUCUGUAGAUAAUUAUGUAUAUUAAUUUUGUGAUAAAUUAAAUUAACA
This is a long non-coding RNA of Halichondria panicea, 707 nucleotides long. RefSeq lists it as uncharacterized. NCBI's taxonomy places the organism in Eukaryota, Metazoa, Porifera, Demospongiae, Suberitida, Halichondriidae. The transcript has 3 exons. The record is from RefSeq and is a predicted model, not a curated record.